Acanthosepion pharaonis is the source of this 111-nucleotide non-coding RNA. The record is from the annotation of a GenBank genome assembly. Lineage: Eukaryota; Metazoa; Mollusca; Cephalopoda; Sepiida; Sepiidae.
AACGGCCAUAUCACGUUGAAACACCCGUUACUGUGUGAUCAGUUAAGUUAAGCAACAUAGAACAGGGUUAGUACCUAGAUGGGUCACCGCUUGGGAAUACCAGGUUCUGUA